RNAcentral lists this ribosomal RNA (477 nucleotides) under uncultured bacterium. RNAcentral's name for it is "partial 16S ribosomal RNA". It matches the Rfam family "Bacterial small subunit ribosomal RNA", at positions 28 to 506 of the family's 1533-position model. The record is from RNAcentral.
GAUGAACGCUGGCGGCGUGCCUAACACAUGCAAGUCGAACGGAGUCCAGCCUUUAAGACCUUCGGGUCAAAGAGGGGAAGACUGAGUGGCGGACGGGUGAGUAACACGUGGGCAACCUGGCUCAUAGAGGGGGAUAACAGAGAGAAAUUUCUGCUAAUACCGCAUAAGCACACCCUGCCGCAUGGCAGAGGGUGAAAAGAGAAUCGCUAUGAGAUGGACCCGCGUCUGAUUAGCCAGUUGGCAGGGUAAGAGCCUACCAAAGCGACGAUCAGUAGCCGAUCUGAGAGGAUGAACGGCCACAUUGGGACUGAGACACGGCCCAAACUCCUACGGGAGGCAGCAGUGGGGGAUAUUGCACAAUGGGGGGAACCCUGAUGCAGCGACGCCGCGUGAGUGAAGAAGUAUUUCGGUAUGUAAAGCUCUAUCAGCAGGGAAGAUAAUGACAGUACCUGAAUAAGAAGCCCCGGCUAACUACGU